Molecule: ribosomal RNA, 507 nt
Filed under: uncultured bacterium
Lineage: Bacteria
Description: bacterial SSU rRNA
Rfam family: Bacterial small subunit ribosomal RNA
Source: RNAcentral
CGAACGCUGGCGGCGUGGAUAAGACAUGCAAGUCGAACGGGGCAUUUCAGGUAGCAAUAUUUGAGAUGUUCAGUGGCGAACGGGUGCGUAACACGUGGAUAACAUUCCGGGAAGCGGGGGAUAGCCCAGGGAAACUUGGAUUAAUACCGCAUGUGGUCGAGAGACUAAAGGUGGGGACCGCAAGGCCUGCCACUUCCCGAUUGGUCCGCGGCCUAUCAGCUAGUUGGUGAGGUAAUGGCUCACCAAGGCUACGACGGGUAGCUGGUCUUAGAGGACGACCAGCCACACUGGAACUGAGACACGGUCCAGACACCUACGGGUGGCAGCAGUCGAGAAUCUUUCACAAUGGGGGCAACCCUGAUGGAGCGACGCCGCGUGGAGGAUAAGGUCUUCGGAUUGUAAACUCCUGUCAUGCGAGAACAAGGUAGUCAGGUUAAUACCCUGUAUUGAUGACGGUACCGUAAGAAGAAGCACCGGCUAACUACGUGCCAGCCGCCGCGGUAAUUC